AGAGUUUGAUUAUGGCUCAGGAUGAACGCUGGCGGCGUGCCUAACACAUGCAAGUCGAGCGAUCUUCUCGGAAGAGAGCGGCGGACGGGUGAGUAACGCGUGGGUAACCUGCCCUGUACACACGGAUAACAUACCGAAAGGUAUGCUAAUACGGGAUAACAUACUUUUAUCGCAUGGUAGAAGUAUCAAAGCUCCGGCGGUACAGGAUGGACCCGCGUCUGAUUAGCUAGUUGGUAAGGUAACGGCUUACCAAGGCGACGAUCAGUAGCCGACCUGAGAGGGUGAUCGGCCACAUUGGAACUGAGACACGGUCCAAACUCCUACGGGAGGCAGCAGUGGGGAAUAUUGCACAAUGGGCGAAAGCCUGAUGCCAGCAACGCCGCGUGAGCGAUGAAGGCCUUCGGGUCGUAAAGCUCUGUCCUCAAGGAAGAUAAUGACGGUACUUGAGGAGGAAGCCCCGGCUAACUACGUGCCAGCCGCCGC
Molecule: ribosomal RNA, 483 nt
Filed under: uncultured bacterium
Lineage: Bacteria
Description: bacterial SSU rRNA
Rfam family: Bacterial small subunit ribosomal RNA
Source: RNAcentral